RNAcentral lists this ribosomal RNA (777 nucleotides) under uncultured Neocallimastigales. RNAcentral's name for it is "partial large subunit ribosomal RNA". It matches the Rfam family "Eukaryotic large subunit ribosomal RNA", at positions 26 to 627 of the family's 3401-position model. Lineage: Eukaryota; Fungi; Neocallimastigomycota; Neocallimastigomycetes; Neocallimastigales. The record is from RNAcentral.
CGUCUAUAUACGUAUAGCAUAUCAAUAAGCGGAGGAAAAGAAACUAACUAGGAUUCCCUCAGUAACGGCGAGUGAAGCGGGAAGAGCUCAAAUUUGAAAUCUUCAAGGUUUUACCUUGACGAAUUGUAGUUUAAAGAAGUGUUUUCUGUUGGAGUUUUCGGUAAAAGUUCUUUGGAAUAGGACAUCAUAGAGGGUGAGAAUCCCGUAUUUGACCAUUAUUUCCAGCUGUGUGAUACACUUUCAAAGAGUCGGAUUGUUUGGGAAUGCAGUCCAAAAUGGGUGGUAAAUUUCAUCUAAAGCUAAAUACUGGCGAGAGACCGAUAGCGAACAAGUACCGUGAGGGAAAGAUGAAAAGAACUUUGAAAAGAGAGUUAAACAGUACGUGAAAUUGUCAAAAGGGAAGCGUUUGACACCAGUGUUGUUUUCUCGAAAAUCAAUUAAAAAUGGCAGUGAUUUUGUGUUGUAUUGACCUUAUAAGCUUUCUGCACUUUUUUCAUGUCUUUUUUAAUGCACUUUUCGUUUAACAAGUCAACAUCAAUUUCUUUUGUUGUAAAAAGGGUCAUUGGAAGGUGGCUUUCUUUUCGGAGAAAGUGUUUAUAGCCUUUGACUUCUGCAAUCGGAGAGAUUGAGGUCUGCAGCGUAGAUCCUUCGGGGUUAGAUACAUUUGUGCUAAGCUAUAGCCUUUCAUAGACAACUUGUUGACUAUGAUCAGUCAUGUAGCUUACUCGCUUAUGCUAUUUUACCUACGCUUAGGAUGUUGACGAUCAGCUGAGCGCG